CCUANGGGUGGCUGCAGUCGAGGAUAUUUAGCAAUGCCCGAAAGGGUGACUAUGCGACGCCGCGUGUGCGAUGAAGGUCUUCGGAUCGUAAAGCACUGUCAGCUGGGAGGAAUCUCGGGGGAUCGAACAGAUCCGCCGGGUGACAGUACCAGCAGAGGAAGCCACGGCUAACUCCGUGCCAGCAGCCGCGGUAAUACGGAGGUGGCAGGCGUUACUCGGAUUGAUUGGGUGUAAAGGGUGUGUAGGCGGUGCGCUAAGUCGAAUGUGAAAUCCCUUGGCUUAACCAAGGAACUGCAUUCGAAACUGGCGUGCUUGAGUGAUGGAGAGGAAAGUGGAAUUCCCGGUGUAACAGUGAAAUGUGUAGAUAUCGGGAGGAACACCAGUGGCGAAGGCGACUUUCUGGACAUCUACUGACGCUGAAACACGAGAGCAUGGGGAGCAAACAGGAUUAGAUACCCUGNUANUC
Molecule: ribosomal RNA, 466 nt
Filed under: uncultured bacterium
Lineage: Bacteria
Description: bacterial SSU rRNA
Rfam family: Bacterial small subunit ribosomal RNA
Source: RNAcentral